AUCUUCCAACAAAAGGAUGGGUCACGCCCACCCAGAGUGUAUGGCUGAGUAUUUUAAUGUUUGACGAUGUUCUGGUUGUAGUGACUAUUUGCUAUAAUACGCUCCCUGUACAUACUCCUCAAGAGCGGCUGUGGACAGAAGAUGAAUGGUUCCUUUGAAGGAGCGUUGAUAUUUGACCAACCUGAUGGCCUGCUCUCUCCAUGCAGUCCAGCCAGCCCCUCCGUUGUAGGCAGGAAGAGGCCAAGUGUAGGAGGGAGUGAUGACUUGAAUGAACCUGGAUACACAAAUGUUGGGGAAGCUAAGAGAGCAAGAAUGCAAUCAUCAAGUCUGUUUGCUACCGGACAUAGCGAUGCAGUGUUGGCACUCUCCAGGAUGGCCAACUUUGGCAGUUUUGAUGAUCCCCCGUCUGUUAGUCCUGCCCCACCACUUCCUUCGUUUAUAGAGGAUUGGCUGUCCACGUUCUCCUCUUGGACACACGAGCACAGGAUAGCUGGCCUCGACGCCAUUAUCCCACUGUGUGAUUCUGUUCAACUAAAGUGUCUCAUGGAGCAAAUACAACCACAGUUUCAAAGAGACUUCAUUUCAAUACUACCCAAAGAGCUUGCUCUGCAUGUAUUGCGAUUCCUGGCCCCCAGAGACCUCCUCGUGGCUGCUCAGACUUGCCGCACUUGGCACACCCUCUGUGAGGACUGCCUACUGUGGCGUGAGAAGUGUCGAGAGUGUGGUGUGGGGGAGUCAGGGCUGAGGGCCUCCAGGGCUAUCCUCAGUAACCCUUGGAAACAGAUGUACCUGACAAAGCAUCGUGUGGACCAUAACUGGCGACGUCUUGAGAUCAAUCCUCCCCACCGCCUCAAGACCCUCAAGAGUCACGAUGACCACGUGGUGACAUGUCUACAGUUCUCAGGGAACAGGGUUGUGAGUGGCUCCGAUGAUAACACUCUCAGUGUAUGGCACGCCAUCACUGGCAAGCAUCUUCGUCAGCUGACUGGGCACACUGGAGGAGUAUGGUGCUCACAGUUUGAUGGGUCUACAGUUGUCAGUGGCUCUACAGACAGAACACUGAGGGUUUGGGACAGUGAAAGUGGAGAAAGUAAACACGUUCUUCAUGGGCACACUUCCACUGUGAGGUGUAUAGCACUGCAAGGCAAUGUUGUUGUGAGUGGUUCCAGAGAUUCUACACUGCGUGUGUGGAACAUUGAGAGUGGAGAGUGCACUCAAACAUUGCUAGGUCAUGUGGCAGCUGUCAGAUGUGUUCAGUUUGAUGGACAUCGUGUAGUGAGUGGAGCGUAUGAUUACCUUGUGAAGGUGUGGGACCCAGUGGAGGGGGCGUGUCUACACACCCUCACAGGGCACACUAACAGGGUCUACUCUCUACAAUUUGAUGGUGUCCAUAUUGUGAGUGGGUCACUAGACACACACAUACGGGUCUGGAAUGCGAAUACUGGACAAUGCCUCCAUACCCUCAAAGGACACCAAUCCCUCACCAGCGGUAUGAUGCUCCGGAAGAAUAUUCUUGUGUCAGGAAAUGCUGACUCAACAGUCAAGGUGUGGGACAUCACUACAGGGCAGUGUCUGUACACUCUGCAAGGCCCUCACAAACACCUCAGUGCCGUCACUAGCCUAUAUACAGUUCACAGACAACUUUGUGGUGACCAGCAGCGAUGAUGGUACAGUGACCUCAAGACAGGGAUCGAAUUCAGACAGUGGUGGAAAUGGUGGAGUGGUCUGGCGUGUCAAGUGCUCUGAGCGCAAGCUUGUGUGUGCUGUGGGCAGCAGCAGAGGAGGUACGACAUCCGCAUGUCUUUAACACACACAUUCCUUAGGUCAAAGUUCGAAAUGUGUGUGUUAAAGACAUGCGGAUGACACGCGGAUGUCGUACAUCCUCUGGGGCAGCAGGAAUGGGAUCGAGGACACGAAACUGCUUGUACUUGGUUUCGAUGAUUAUCAAUCAAUGCUAUAAUUAGCAGUGUCUCUAUUCACUCAAAACUGCACAUAAUUAUAUAUUUUCUUCCCUGUGUAUAUGUAUAGGAUAUUAUAUGUACAGUUGUGUACAUGGCAUUGUUGAAGUGACA
RNA transcript from Halichondria panicea, 2072 nucleotides. It is a transcript of the gene named F-box/WD repeat-containing protein 7-like, with no coding region annotated. NCBI's taxonomy places the organism in Eukaryota, Metazoa, Porifera, Demospongiae, Suberitida, Halichondriidae. The record is from RefSeq and is a predicted model, not a curated record. The transcript is spliced from 17 exons.